RNAcentral lists this transfer RNA (123 nucleotides) under Boodleopsis sp. FL1161. RNAcentral's name for it is "tRNA-Leu". It matches the Rfam family "tRNA". From Rfam's summary of the family: Transfer RNA (tRNA) molecules are approximately 80 nucleotides in length. Their secondary structure includes four short double-helical elements and three loops (D, anti-codon, and T loops). Lineage: Eukaryota; Viridiplantae; Chlorophyta; Ulvophyceae; Bryopsidales; Halimedaceae. The record is from RNAcentral.
UGGGGAUAUGGCGAAAUUGGUAGACGCUACAGACUUAGUUUUUUUGAUAAAGAUAGAGUCCAGAUAAUUCUGAAAAUCUGUUGGUUCUUUGAACUGUGAGGGUUCAAGUCCCUCUAUCCCUAA